This 746-nucleotide ribosomal RNA is filed under the name uncultured Parvimonas sp. RNAcentral describes it as "bacterial SSU rRNA". It matches the Rfam family "Bacterial small subunit ribosomal RNA", at positions 28 to 776 of the family's 1533-position model. The record is from RNAcentral. Lineage: Bacteria; Bacillati; Bacillota; Tissierellia; Tissierellales; Peptoniphilaceae.
GACGAACGCUGGCGGCGUGCUUAACACAUGCAAGUCGAACGUGAUUUUUAUGGAAAUUCUUUCGGGAAUGGAAAUGAAAUGAAAGUGGCGAACGGGUGAGUAACACGUGAGCAACCUACCUUACACAGGGGGAUAGCCGUUGGAAACGACGAUUAAUACCGCAUGAGACCACAGAAUCGCAUGAUAUAGGGGUCAAAGAUUUAUCGGUGUAAGAAGGGCUCGCGUCUGAUUAGCUAGUUGGAAGGGUAAAGGCCUACCAAGGCGACGAUCAGUAGCCGGUCUGAGAGGAUGAACGGCCACAUUGGGACUGAGACACGGUCCAAACUCCUACGGGAGGCAGCAGUGGGGAAUAUUGCACAAUGGGGGGAACCCUGAUGCAGCGACGCCGCGUGAGCGAAGAAGGUUUUCGAAUCGUAAAGCUCUGUCCUAUGAGAAGAUAAUGACGGUAUCAUAGGAGGAAGCCCCGGCUAAAUACGUGCCAGCAGCCGCGGUAAUACGUAUGGGGCGAGCGUUGUCCGGAAUUAUUGGGCGUAAAGGGUACGUAGGCGGUUUUUUAAGUCAGGUGUGAAAGCGUGAGGCUUAACCUCAUUAAGCACUUGAAACUGGAAGACUUGAGUGAAGGAGAGGAAAGUGGAAUUCCUAGUGUAGCGGUGAAAUGCGUAGAUAUUAGGAGGAAUACCGGUGGCGAAGGCGACUUUCUGGACUUUUACUGACGCUCAGGUACGAAAGCGUGGGGAGCAAACAGG